Long non-coding RNA from Chiroxiphia lanceolata (lance-tailed manakin), 129 nucleotides. RefSeq lists it as uncharacterized. The transcript is spliced from 3 exons. The record is from RefSeq and is a predicted model, not a curated record. Lineage: Eukaryota; Metazoa; Chordata; Aves; Passeriformes; Pipridae.
UUCAAGAAGGGCAAGAAGCAGGACCCUGGAAACUACAGGCCUGUCAGUCUCACUUCAGUGCCUGGUAAAGUUAUGGAGAAGGUUAUUCUGGGAAGUGUUGAAAAACACCUGAAAGACAAUUAUGUUAUU